GAUCUAAGAUGAUUGUAUCCCAAACCUGAAUUCCUGUUGAAAAACCAAAAUUACGGAUCUGGCUUCUGAGAC
Small nucleolar RNA from Cricetulus griseus (Chinese hamster), 72 nucleotides. Ensembl annotates it as small nucleolar RNA SNORD50. The record is from Ensembl. NCBI's taxonomy places the organism in Eukaryota, Metazoa, Chordata, Mammalia, Rodentia, Cricetidae.